This 497-nucleotide ribosomal RNA is filed under the name uncultured bacterium. RNAcentral describes it as "partial 16S ribosomal RNA". It matches the Rfam family "Bacterial small subunit ribosomal RNA", at positions 28 to 507 of the family's 1533-position model. The record is from RNAcentral.
GAUGAACGCUGGCGGCGUGCCUAAUACAUGCAAGUCGAGCGAACAGACGAGGAGCUUGCUCCUCUGACGUUAGCGGCGGACGGGUGAGUAACACGUGGAUAACCUACCUAUAAGACUGGGAUAACUUCGGGAAACCGGAGCUAAUACCGGAUAAUAUAUUGAACCGCAUGGUUCAAUAGUGAAAGACGGUUUUGCUGUCACUUAUAGAUGGAUCCGCGCCGCAUUAGCUAGUUGGUAAGGUAACGGCUUACCAAGGCAACGAUGCGUAGCCGACCUGAGAGGGUGAUCGGCCACACUGGAACUUAGACACGGUCCAGACUCCUACGGGAGGCAGCAGUAGGGAAUCUUCCACAAUGGGCGAAAGCCUGACGGAGCAACGCCGCGUGAGUGAUGAAGGUCUUCGGAUCGUAAAACUCUGUUAUUAGGGAAGAACAAAUGUGUAAGUAACUAUGCACGUCUUGACGGUACCUAAUCAGAAAGCCACGGCUAACUACGUG